ACCGCGGUAGCCCAGUUGGUUAGGGCGUCGGCAAAACUGAUGCCGCAGGUUCAAAUCCUGCCUGCGGUG
Non-coding RNA from Phthorimaea operculella (potato tuberworm), 69 nucleotides. The record is from the annotation of a GenBank genome assembly. Lineage: Eukaryota; Metazoa; Arthropoda; Insecta; Lepidoptera; Gelechiidae.